Molecule: ribosomal RNA, 352 nt
Filed under: uncultured bacterium
Lineage: Bacteria
Description: bacterial SSU rRNA
Rfam family: Bacterial small subunit ribosomal RNA
Source: RNAcentral
GAUGAACCGCCGGGCGGGUGUGCCCUAAUACGAUGCAAGUCGUACGCGACUGGCCCAAACGUGAUUGAUGGUGCUUGCACCUGAUUGAUGAUGGAUCACCAGUGAGGUGGCGGACGGGUGAGUAACACGUAGGUAACCUGCCCCGGAGCGGGGGAUAACAUUUGGAAACAGAUGCUAAUACCGCAUAACAAUAAAAGCCGCAUGGCUUUUAUUUGAAAGAUGGCUUUGGCUAUCACUCUGGGAUGGACCUGCGGUGCAUUAGCUAGUUGGUAAGGUAACGGCUUACCAAGGCGAUGAUGCAUAGCCGAGUUGAGAGACUGAUCGGCCACAAUGGAACUGAGACACGGUCCAU